Non-coding RNA from Paramisgurnus dabryanus, 1724 nucleotides. Lineage: Eukaryota; Metazoa; Chordata; Actinopteri; Cypriniformes; Cobitidae. The record is from RefSeq and is a predicted model, not a curated record.
GAGAGUGGUUCAAAAGCCCAGGAAACAGUGUAAUCACGCGGUACUGUGAUGUCAUACUGGUUAACGCUUAGCCACGUGAAGCCGGACACAAGGGCUGCACUAAUCUUUGGGCUGGAGUAGCCUGUGGUUUUUGAGGCUUCCGUGUGUCGUCGCGUUAAACGAUCGCAGAACGAUUUAUUUCUCUUUUUCACCUCGAUUUUGGCCUCUUGUGAUUUACCAAAACCAACAUGUGAAGUAACAACGCUGACGAAGGAGUUUCAUCAGUAGAGUGUGUCCUGGUAAACGUGUGCUCGGAAACAUGCAGAUUACAGUAUCUACAGAGCCGACCUUGAGGCUAGUUUUUGCAUGACAUCCACUGAUGGAUAAUCUGUUUACCUAAAAACAGGGUGGUGUUCAUACAAAGCAACUUAUUGCUCUUCUGCUUGAGAGAAAGUUACUGCUGGGGCUCUCCUGCUAAGGUUGUCUAAAGGUUGUCUUAAUUCUAAAAGUCAUUUAUCUGAAUAUGAAAGGCUUAAGUCAUAGCAAGUUUUGAAUGAAUGACUUCACAAUCUGUUUUAAUAAUGUUUAUUUACAAUGUAUUUUAUUCCACUGACCUGAAUCGUGCAGAAUUCUGGCUUGAUGUUUAGUCCACCGGUUGUCUUCUCCAACCUCUGAGUGAAGCCACCACGAGUGGUCGUGUUAACCAAUUUUUUAUCUUAGUGCACAGGUAAAGCCCAUAAAUGGCAAAAACUGAUUGGCACAGCACUUCAGGAGAAACCUGCCUGUGAUCUGCUAAGAUGCACAGAUUCAACUCUGGCCCAUUGCCAUCCCAACACCUCAUCUGCCAUCAGUUUCGUUUAGUGUCGGUCUAUUGCAAAAGUUCUUAUAAACUUUAAAUGAGACUUUGUGUUAAGCAGGGGUUUCCAAACUUUUCAUUUCACAACAUAUUAAGCCCAGGAUACACAGCAGGAUUUUUACAAUCCAAUAAGACCUUAUCACACUGUGUGACAAGGAUUGUUUAAACUUCAGCAGUAGACUGUCGAUGAAGACACCUAUUGCAUCUGAGGCUGCGACAUCCGUCAUCAGCAUGCGCUAGUGGUAAACAAAUACAGGUAUGCAGGUCGUAGAAGCAAACACGUUGUUGAUGUGCGUUGAUCAUGCUGAACUUCUUACACUGUCAUAAAACUAUCGUAGGACCACCAAUUAAGAGCCACGAUCACAGAAAUCUCCCCGAUUGUUUCACGAUUGGUAAUCUUUCAUCUGGGACAGCCAAAAAUCGUGCCGUGUGUUAUGGGCUUUAGACAGGUGUAAUCUUAUAGUAUAUCAAAACCAUUGCUAAUAAUUAAUUGGACAAACCAUCACUACAAUGCAACACUCACUAUCUUACGGUGCGACCCACAAGUGGGUCUUCACCCACAGUUUAAAAACCCUGAGUAUGAGAAAGAGUAUGUUGUAUUGUAAUUAAAGUCACAUCUAAGUGUUAUGGAGCAGUUUGUCAUUAUAUUCACCGUAUUACAUGGUUCUUUCAGCAGUUACUACGUUACAGUGCUCUUAAAGUGUCCUGGUCAGCUUUGGGUCUUGUGAAGUAAUCUAAUGAAAAUGUGAUCAAUAGCUUUGCAGUAUUUUUGUUACACUGUGGCUGUAAUCAUAUUAACACAUAGGUUAAACAUUUUAUUCAAAAUUUGGUAAACAAACUAGUCAAUAUAAUUCAUACUGUGAUGCUGGAUUAAACCUGGUCAAAUGAA